GGCAGAGACCUAGGUAGAGGGAGAAGCAGGCUCCCUGCGGGGAGCCCUAUGCGCACUGGAUGCCAGACCCCGGGAUCACGCCCGGAGCCCAAGGCAGCCGCUCAACCACUGAGCCCCCCAGCGUCACAUUAUCACGAAUUUAGAAUAUGCGUUAGAAGGCGUGCUUUGCGCACUGUGACGGACUGCAUAUUGCUGCUGUGAUUCUUUAGGGUAAGAAGCCCCAGGUGCCCAGCAUCCAGAGCAGACCGGCUCGGCUCCACCGCAGGCACGCAGGGGCUGGGAUUCCCUCCCGCGAGCGGCAGCGACGUCACGGGCAGCUCCUCGGCGGCGGGGGCUGGAGCGCGGGAGGCGGCGGGCGCGCCGGGAGGGGCGUCGCUGGGAAUUUCCAGGGAAACACUGCAGCAGAUGGCCUGCCUGGCUGAGCUUCAGUGACACAUCUGCAGCACGGCUGGUGGGAAGGAUAUUUUCGGAAAAUCUAUGCUCUCUCAGAUGGUUUAUCUGUGAAUGAAAAAGAAAAAGAGAACAACACAUGGAUUAUUUGUUCUGGGCUGCUGCUACAGAUGGAGAUAAAGGAAAGUCAUACUACUUUUUGCCAACGUAAUGGAGCAGAAGAAUGGAGUUUGGGUGAAUAUUCCUGCAUUUUAUUUCUCAUUAAAAAGUUCAUUUAUAUUUGCUUAUCUCAAAUCUCUGAAAAGUUUUUCCAUAAUCACAAACCUUUCAUCAAAUUACAGUUCUGCUUCUGUCUGUGAAUAAUUAUGUAUGGUCAGAGAAAAAAAAAUAAAAGAGCAUUGAGCUUCUGUAUCUAGCUCCUG
Molecule: long non-coding RNA, 812 nt
Filed under: Vulpes vulpes (red fox)
Lineage: Eukaryota; Metazoa; Chordata; Mammalia; Carnivora; Canidae
Description: lncRNA (ENSVVUG00000019890.1)
Source: RNAcentral